GGAUGAACGCUGGCGGCGUGCUUAACACAUGCAAGUCGAACGAAGCACUUUAUUUGAUUUCCUUCGGGACUGAUUAUUUUGUGACUGAGUGGCGGACGGGUGAGUAACGCGUGGGUAACCUGCCUUGUACAGGGGGAUAACAGUUGGAAACGGCUGCUAAUACCGCAUAAGCGCACAGCAUCGCAUGAUGCAGUGUGAAAAACUCCGGUGGUAUAAGAUGGACCCGCGUUGGAUUAGCUAGUUGGUGAGGUAACGGCCCACCAAGGCGACGAUCCAUAGCCGACCUGAGAGGGUGACCGGCCACAUUGGGACUGAGACACGGCCCAAACUCCUGCGGGAGGCAGCAGUGGGGAAUAUUGCACAAUGGGCGAAAGCCUGAUGCAGCGACGCCGCGUGAGCGAAGAAGUAUUUCGGUAUGUAAAGCUCUAUCAGCAGGGAAGAUAAUGACGGUACCUGACUAAGAAGCACCGGCUAAAUACGU
This 481-nucleotide ribosomal RNA is filed under the name uncultured bacterium. RNAcentral describes it as "partial 16S ribosomal RNA". It matches the Rfam family "Bacterial small subunit ribosomal RNA", at positions 27 to 506 of the family's 1533-position model. The record is from RNAcentral.